UGUGGCGGGGCGAGCGGUGGCCGCGGGAUGCGUUACGAGCGCAAUUCCGCGCGCCACACCCGCUCGGGUCCUUGCUGAUUCUGCAGUAACCUCGGACUGCUCGGUGUGGGCCGAACGCAUCCCUCCCCUGCGCGCCUAACCCUCCCUUCCCUGCGUGAACCCGACAAGGAGGUGCUGGCGCGGGGCAGGAUGCGUGGGGAGUCGAGCGUGGAAUUUCCGGUCUCCUCCGAGGAAUGCAUCGCUGGCUGCCCCCAGGAGGACUACGAGAUGCUUGGAUCUCCGCAUUCAGAUGGACACCGUCGACUUGAUUUGCAAGACCUCCCACCACCUGCUUGGCUGCUCUACCAGCUUCAGUAAGAAUCAAAUCCUACGAACCGAGUAAUUAGUAUCAGUAAUUUUGUUAGUUUUUUAGGUGGUUCAGUAUUCAGUUUUUUUUUGGAUUGCCUAGUGCCGGUGAUCUAAGCCUGAACCAAUUAGUUAGUUUAGUAGUUCUGUAUGCAUUUUUGAGUUCAGUAAUUUUAUUGUUGCAAGCAUAAUUAUUCUUUUGUUGCUUAGUUUAGGCUCAGUACUAUAUUAUUUUCAGUAUUUGUGUUAGCAUCUAGUAUCAAUAAUUUUCGAUCAUUACUGAACAUUUGAUGGUUUGAGUUAGUAUAGUAGUUAAGUAGUCCUUACUGAGUUAUUGGACCAGAUAAUGAAAUAUUAGACUACUAAACUGCAUGAGAUUGAAUAGAGCUCUGUAACAGAAACUACUAAAUCUAAAAAAUUGACCGAGCUCAGUGCAAUUUUUUAUAUUCAGUAAUUCAGCAUAGUUUGAAUAGCCUAAUUACUGAAUGAACUAUCUAAAGCCAGAUAAUGAUUUCGAUAGCUAAAUAAAACUAAAAACUAUGAUGUAAACUACUGAACGCAACCACAUAAGUUAGUAUAGUAGUUGUGUUAGUAUGUAGUAUCGGUAGUUUUUCGUUAGGCCAGUAGUACCAUUACUUUUUUUUUCUUUGGCUCAGUAAUAUUCCCAGCACCAUUAAUUUAUUAGGUUUAGUAGUUAGUCCUGUAUUUUUUUUCAAUACCUGAGCACUGAUCUGAACCAAGUAGGUACUCUAGUAGUUCAGUAGUCAUUACUGAACUAUCAGAUCAACGAAUGAAAUACUAGAUUAUCGAACUAUAUAAGAUUGAAUAGAGCUCAGCAAGUAAAACCACUGGAACUUAAAAAACUAUUGAGACUAUGCAAUUUUAUAUUCAGUAACUCAAAUUGACAUAACUUUUUUUGAACGGAAACUGUGGGAGGAGUUCCCCACAGCAAAUGCAUUAACAUAAUUUGAAUAGGCUAAUUACUGAACCAUCUAGAGUGGAUAUUGAUCUGGAUGGCUGAAUGUUGAAAUUUAAGAUAGUAGUUUUGUUUAGUAUCAUUAAUUUGUUAGGUUUAGCAGUUAGUCCAAUAUUUUUUACUACUGAGCAUCGACGAUCUGAACUGAGUAGUUAGUCUAGCAGUUCUAUUAGCAUUUUUAUUGAGUAAGCACAAUUGUUCUUUUUUUUUAUGUUGCUACUUUGAGCUCUAUACUAUAUUAUUUCAGUAGUAGUAUUAAGAACUUUACCCGCUGCGUUUUGAAAACUAGCCCGAGGGAAGCUUCAUUAUGCGGACAUGGCGCCACUUUCACAAGAGUGAAGGCUAAGUGAAGAGAGAAGAUGCAGACAUGUGACAUGUACAAUAUCUGUUAUCUGUAGAUCUUUUUUUGGGGCUGCAUGCUCAGAUUGUUAAUUGUGACUAUACAUGUUCAAUGCCAACUAUGCGUAUGCAGAUUCAGUAAUACAUCCAGUAAUUCCUUUGUA
Long non-coding RNA from Panicum virgatum (switchgrass), 1824 nucleotides. RefSeq lists it as uncharacterized. NCBI's taxonomy places the organism in Eukaryota, Viridiplantae, Streptophyta, Magnoliopsida, Poales, Poaceae. The transcript is spliced from 2 exons. The record is from RefSeq and is a predicted model, not a curated record.